This is a ribosomal RNA of Mesocricetus auratus (golden hamster), 106 nucleotides long. The record is from Ensembl. Lineage: Eukaryota; Metazoa; Chordata; Mammalia; Rodentia; Cricetidae.
GUCUACGGCCAUACCACCCUGAACGCGCCCGAUCUCGUCUGAUCUCGGAAGCUAAGCAGGGUCGGGCCUGGUUAGUACUUGGAUAGGAGAAAGAGAUACAUAAACU